Molecule: ribosomal RNA, 254 nt
Filed under: uncultured bacterium
Lineage: Bacteria
Description: partial 16S ribosomal RNA
Rfam family: Bacterial small subunit ribosomal RNA
Source: RNAcentral
UACGUAGGGGGCGAGCGUUGUCCGGAUUUAUUGGGCGUAAAGAGCUCGUAGGCGGUUUGGUAAGUCGGGUGUGAAAUCUCCACGCUCAACGUGGAGGGGCCACUCGAUACCGCCAUGACUCGAGUCCGGUAGAGGAGUGUGGAAUUCCCGGUGUAGCGGUGAAAUGCGCAGAUAUCGGGAGGAACACCCGUAGCGAAGGCGGCACUCUGGGCCGGAACUGACGCUGAGGAGCGAAAGCGUGGGGAGCGAACAGG